This is a long non-coding RNA of Mugil cephalus (flathead mullet), 770 nucleotides long. RefSeq lists it as uncharacterized. Lineage: Eukaryota; Metazoa; Chordata; Actinopteri; Mugiliformes; Mugilidae. The transcript has 3 exons. The record is from RefSeq and is a predicted model, not a curated record.
AGCCAAUCAGGCGUAACGCAGGCCACGUCCAGCUCGUGCGGUGACGUGCGUCGUUUUCCCGGUCUUUCUUUAGGAGUGAGGGCAGCUAUCAGCUUAGCAGACAGAGACAGAAAAAAGAGAGAAAUAAGAAUUAUCCUAAAAAAAAUAACAACGAGAUAGAAAAGUAGCAACAAACAAAAGUCGGUACACUUAUCUGCUGGAAGUCCGGAGCGAGCGAUUACCCAAAGGAGACGCGUCAAGUCGGCUAGCUACCUACCUUCCAUUGGGAGAGCCGCUCGGUUCUAACAUCGGAGUACUCGGCUUUGACAAACACGGAGACGGUCAGGUUUUUUGAGAGGACGGAGAGAAUCCGAGGGACCAGGACCACAUCCUAGUCGCGACAGAUGGUAGGCCAACUAUUUUGAGGAUAAACCACCACGAAGGAGAUACAUACACACUCACACCAUACAUUCACAUUACACCCCAUUGGACUUUUAAAAUCAGGUGCACCUGCAACAACUUUUAUUUCUAAGGGCCCUAACAGACACUUUUAUUUAUUGUGUGCAUAUUUAUUAUUUUAUUUUGGUUUUUGUUGCUCAACACAUUGGCUCCUCAUGAAUUUAUUAUCUUAUGAUCCUGGCCAGAGUUUUAUACCUAAUCAGAGUUGUUAUUAUACUGUAACACACUCUUAAAUCACUAAAACGGGUUACAUACGGCUCCAGCACAGGAUCAUGAAAACACGGAGGAAACUCCACCGUUUCCCCAAUAAACAAAAACAGAGAAAGUUAUGG